AAGGCUGUGCAUAUCGACGGCAGCAAGCAGGCAGAACAGGUGCACAUAACGCUGGGUGGCCCCAACGAGGUUGUGGUGACUUUUGCGACGGCUGA
RNAcentral lists this non-coding RNA (95 nucleotides) under Tetraselmis striata. The record is from RNAcentral. Lineage: Eukaryota; Viridiplantae; Chlorophyta; Chlorodendrophyceae; Chlorodendrales; Chlorodendraceae.